GAUGAACGCUGGCGGCGUGCCUAAUACAUGCAAGUCGAGCGAACAGACGAGGAGCUUGCUCCUCUGACGUUAGCGGCGGACGGGUGAGUAACACGUGGAUAACCUACCUAUAAGACUGGGAUAUCUUCGGGAAACCGGAGCUAAUACCGGAUAAUAUAUUGAACCGCAUGGUUCAAUAGUGAAAGACGGUUUUGCUGUCACUUAUAGAUGGAUCCGCGCCGCAUUAGCUAGUUGGUAAGGUAACGGCUUACCAAGGCGACGAUGCGUAGCCGACCUGAGAGGGUGAUCGGCCACACUGGAACUGAGACACGGUCCAGACUCCUACGGGAGGCAGCAGUAGGGAAUCUUCCGCAAUGGGCGAAAGCCUGACGGAGCAACGCCGCAUGAGUGAUGAAGGUCUUCGGAUCGUAAAACUCUGUUAUUAGGGAAGAACAAAUGUGUAAGUAACUAUGCACGUCUUGACGGUACCUAAUCAGAAAGCCACGGCUAACUACGUG
RNAcentral lists this ribosomal RNA (497 nucleotides) under uncultured bacterium. RNAcentral's name for it is "partial 16S ribosomal RNA". It matches the Rfam family "Bacterial small subunit ribosomal RNA", at positions 28 to 507 of the family's 1533-position model. The record is from RNAcentral.